GCACCGCAGUCCCAGAGGGAUGGCAAUCUCGAAACAGCUUUGUAGUACAGCUACAACAAAUCUCGCCCCGUAGAAGCAGGGAAACCCGAACAGAGACACAUGUAUAGUAGUAGUGUUCCCACACUCGUUCCCAUACGCUUUUGUAGAGACAAAUACCGGCCCCAAGGUCCACACGAGGAGCAGCACUCGUCGGAGGCCUGUGGGCCCCUGCGCUGAAGUUAAAUUGAAUUGAGAGCUUUGUUAUCGCUCUGACAGAAUUAUGAUGCGAUAAUGCUCCUAAUGACCUGUUUUUGUUGUCAACGUCGUUUAAAAAUAAACUAGACUGUGAAAUUUAAUUAAGGCAGCCUAGCCGGAACGCAAAGGCGGAAAAUCAUGUUGGUCAAGCGAUAAAUCCAAUUUCACACCAUUGGGAAAACCACCAAUAGCCCCCAAUCAUCCUGAACCCUUAGGCGGGCUUCAGUUCCUGCCACGCCGAGUAUUUACACUUUCGUACGGAUUAAUAUAGACUAUCCAUGAGGGAGCAGAUUCGUUGGAUGCAAAGAAUUAACUGGAGCAUUAGGCGAUCUGGGAGACAGAAGGUAGAUAAAAGCAGACAGGCCUCCCUUUAGAAUGCGGGUAUUGCAUACAUGGCGAAUGUACACAUUUUCCAAAAAUAAAACACCUUCAAUACACCAGUCCAUGCGAGUAGAUAUACAUAUGUAUGUGUUUUCCAGCCAUACAUAAACCGUGUUGGAAUAUACAAUUUUUUGGCAUUCUUUAAAAAUACAAAAUUCAAUAAAUUAAUGAACAAUAAUGAGAGCUAUGGCUACCCUA
Molecule: long non-coding RNA, 813 nt
Organism: Drosophila miranda
Lineage: Eukaryota; Metazoa; Arthropoda; Insecta; Diptera; Drosophilidae
Exons: 2
Source: RefSeq, a predicted model, not a curated record